AUUGAACGCUGGCGGCAUGCCUUACACAUGCAAGUCGAACGGUAACAGGUCUUCGGAUGCUGACGAGUGGCGAAUGGGUGAGUAAUACAUCGGAACGUGCCUAGUAGUGGGGGAUAACUACUCGAAAGAGUGGCUAAUACCGCAUGAGAUCUACGGAUGAAAGCAGGGGAUCGCAAGACCUUGUGCUACUAGAGCGGCCGAUGGCAGAUUAGGUAGUUGGUGGGAUAAAAGCUUACCAAGCCGACGAUCUGUAGCUGGUCUGAGAGGAUGAUCAGCCACACUGGGACUGAGACACGGCCCAGACUCCUACGGGAGGCAGCAGUGGGGAAUUUUGGACAAUGGGCGCAAGCCUGAUCCAGCAAUGCCGCGUGCAGGAUGAAGGCCUUCGGGUUGUAAACUGCUUUUGUACGGAACGAAAAGCCCCGGGUUAAUACCCUGGGGUCAUGACGGUACCGUAAGAAUAAGCACCGGCUAACUACGUGCCAGCCGCCGCGGUAA
Molecule: ribosomal RNA, 498 nt
Filed under: uncultured bacterium
Lineage: Bacteria
Description: partial 16S ribosomal RNA
Rfam family: Bacterial small subunit ribosomal RNA
Source: RNAcentral